AUAAAUAAAGUUUAGUGCAGUGCCUGGCCAGACAAGCACGGGCACGUGGCAGGCAUCUGUGGCACAUGAUCUGCUUCACAGGAGAGCUGCCCUCCACCGUCCAGGCUUUGGGGACGCCCUGUGGACUCAGCGCUGAGUCAGCAUUGGGCUUCCAGCCUUCAGUGCUCACAAAUGAGGACAGACUGUGACAUGCAGUGGGAACCACAGACAGGUGAAAUGCUAAUUAGAAGUGACCCCGCCUGUCCCCAAACUGAUGAGCAUGUUGGGAAACGUGCCCGAGUAUGGCUGGGCCUGACCCGUGGAAACACCUCUGCUGUGAUUAGCCACGGGGAUGCUGGAGGACAUCGGCUGGCCUCUGCCUCCAUGUGGGCCACAGUCUGGCCGGGGGCGGAAGACUCUCCUACACGAACCAGUGAGUGGACCAGGCGGGAUCUCCCCAAGGGCCACCUGCAGCAUGCAGUCCUGGCCACUGGAGACCAGAGUGACUGGUGAGCCAUGGGCCAGACGCAGGUGUGGGCAGAGCAGAUGGCAGAAGGCCGGAGGCUGUGGCAGGCGGCCCGUGUGUGGGAUGCUGUGACUCAGCCACCCAAGGACCGGCUUCAGGUCUUCACGCCCCACCUGCAAUUGAGUCUCCACGCUCCUGACCAGGAAUAGAACAUUUUCUUUCCUUUUCCUGUUUUUGGUGAGGGGUAACCCUGUGGCCACAGGUGAGUCAUGGCCAAGGCCGAGGCCCUCCGUGCCAGCGCUGCUAUGGGCCGCUGGCUCUGCGGUUUGCAUGUGCAGGGCUCACUGCGGCACGCCGACAAGUGCCCACAAGAAAGACGACCGUUAGAGAUGUGCUCCUGCAGACGACUCCAUCCCACCUGUCACAGAGGUAGGCACGGCAACCAUCUGCUAGAUUCUCUAGUCCCGCCCCUCCCCUUUCAUUUUUAACCACAGAUUUCACAGUUUGCCUUACUUAUUUAAAUCUGUUAUUUAGAAAAAGACGUGUGUAUUGCUAAGUAAGGAAAUGGCAGCUUUGCCCAUUGAAGCCUGUUCUUUCUAGUCCCUGUAGCUGGCUGUGGUCCCCUGAGAACCUCAUGUUCGAGCCUGGGUAUCCCAUGACUGGGCUGGAUUUAGGACCUGGUCUGCCUGGACUACUGGGUGCUCUGCACUAGACAGGGAGGAGAACUGUGAAAGUCAAGGUGACCUGUCUUUUUAAGAGUAAUACUUAUUACCCCACCUUCUUGAUCCCCACGGUGGGGGAUAUUGAUCUCUACUUUAACCCAGGGACAAUAUGAUGCUCCUGAAGUCACGCUGCACAGCCAGACCAUUGAUUCAGUUAUUCCGCACCUACCAUGUGCCACACACUGUAUGCCGGCAUUGGCGAUACCUCGGGGGGAGAGAUGAAGUCCCCAUGGAGCCAACACAGGCAAAUUGUGUUAAGUGCCGUGAAAGGAACAGCCAUGAUGGAGAAAGGAGAAUAGCGAAGAAGACCCUGGGGCAGGGACGGCCCUGGGAGAGGGACUCAGAAGCUGGGACCUGGCGGAGGAAAGUCUUCAGGAUGCAGCGUGUAUUUUGCACUCACAGCACAUCUCAAUCUGGACUGGCCACACUACAAGGACUUGAGAGCCACAUGUGGCUAGUGGCUGCCAUGUUGGAUGACGCAGGUUUCUGGAACUGUCCUCGACUAGCAGCCAAUAGACCUGCCCUUGAUGAGCAGAUGAGGCUCAGAAACAGAGAUUCUCCCUUGAGCUGGCUCAGGAAAGGGGGUUCCGUGCAAGGAUCUACGUGGAAGGGAUGGUGACUCAGAACAGGAGCCCUGGCCCAGCUGGCCCUCGUGGGAGCUGGGGCUGCCAGGGGAAAGCCCUCCCAAGCCAGGGCCACACUCCCAUCUUUCCAGGAACCUGCAGCCCAUGUCGCUGCCCUCUGAGUGUCUGCUCUAUCCUCCAGUCUCUGCCCCUGGCUCCUCCACGCCCUCAGCCUGCACCCAAACAUCACGGGAUCGCCUGCUUUGCUUCGCCCCUCCCCUUCCUGCACCACAAUCCUUCAAAUAGCACAGCCUCUCAGUUUCCCAAACUUACGGCCUGAAGGAGGAAUCUUGGAUGCCCAGAGCAUCUUUCUCACCAGGCCACAGCUCAGGGGCCUUGGGAGAGGCCCUACUUAAGUCGCAGCCCACCCUGAUUUAGCCGACAUGGGAGGAGGGGCAGAUUCCACGGGGGCAGGAGGGUGAAAUAAGAUUGGCCCCACAUCUGACAUGCAGGAACGGGAACAGGGGAGGCAAAAGCCACUCUUGAGGGUUCAGAGACAGCCCUCCCACAAUACUCUGUCCAAAGGGAAGAGAAGUGUUUCCUCUAAAGGCUGGGUUAGUUCAGCGGCAACUGGAAUGUUAGGGAAUCCACAGAGAAACAGGUUCCCUGCGGCAACAGCUAGACUCAGACUCGAGGGUUUGAAAAGGAGCUCAGAGACAUUAAUUCCCAUGACACCUUUAUCCUCUUGGGGACCUGGGCACAACAGCAUAGCAUUCAUAAUGGGCUCUUGUUAAAGGUCUUCAUUUCUGUCUGAUUCCAGCAGAAGAGCUUCAUAUUUGUAUUUUUGAGCCCUCACUUUCCUGGGAGGAAGAUGGGAAGGUCAGAUGAAAUGCUGGUGAAGAAAGGCCGUAACUUCCCGGAGGUGUUGAACAUGACAAAGAGGAAGCUGUCCCCCCAGUAGAAACUGGGAGGACAGUUUCCUCUUUGCCUCCAACUGAGAGACCUCAGGCCACCUCUGGGAUUCUGAGUUUCCCUCCACGUGGGGACUGAGCACUGGGGCCAGGACUGGAAGGAUUUGGAUUCCGCCAUGGCUGGGGCAGGGCCCUGCUUCUGCCUCCAUGGCCUGCAGUGCCAGGAAGGCUUGGAGCUGCUCCCUGGCCUGUGACCACCCUGGGAAACAACAAGCUAAGGGCUCAGAGCCACAGCAUCGGCACGGCUGGAAGGGCCACAGAACCCUGCCAGAGCCCAGCCUGACAGCCACAGAGCAGCCACCUCACCCAAGGUCGGGGAAGCAGGAAGCCCAGCCCUGUUCACACAGCCGCAGAGAGACCACACUUUAUUAGUGUUGCUUUCAUCGUAUUAACACAAGGAAUAACAAGUGCUUUCAACAUCCUAAAUCACACAUCUGGGAGCUGCAGGAGGCUAUAAAGACGCAAACCCUGCAAAGAGCUGGCCACUUGUCCAGGCUUUAAGAGGUUCAGAUGGACUUCAGAUCUGUCUCACUUGAUUUCUGGGCUCAGCCCCACCUCACCAGGUCACCCAGCCUCACUCAAGGCCAGACACCGUGGUCCUGAUUGCUCAGGCAGCAGCCAAGUUCCAAUGUUCCAUCCAAACGCUGCCAUCUCCAGAACCACUUGAAAGAACUAGGACUUGGAACUCUCCUUGGUAGACAGAGCUGUCCGUGAGAAAGACUGAAAGCCUGGCCAGCCGCAGUGGGGCGCAGAGGACAGGUUCGGGCAGAAAAGACCCUUGCAUCUCAGCGUGGGCCUUCUACCCCCAGGGGGACAGCCCAGACCCUCUUGGAAUAGCGCUGACUCUGCCUGCAGAGGGCCGGCACCCUUGGGGUCUGUGAAUUCCAUUUGCGGUGGCCACAGCAGUGAAGCCACGCUGCACAGGCUCUAUGCGCUCCCUCGCCAUGUGCUUAUCGAGUGAUGCCAUUUGCAGCUGGUCGCCACGGGCUCCUUAGCCAGGUUAGGAUUCUCAGGUGGGAAUCCUAACCCCUGCCUUGCUUACUGCACAGGGCUGUUCCAUCAGUACAAAAUGGAAGAGCUAUGUGAAUGGCUGGGUGCCGAAAAAUGUAAUGAUGGCACUUGUUGAAAUGCCAUCUAACCUGCAGAACAUAUUUUAUGGCCCAUAAAAAUGUAGUUUCCUCUGUGGAAUAAGGACAAUGCAAAUUCCAGGGCAAAAUGUGAAACAAGAAAUAUUGGGCCAACA
Molecule: non-coding RNA, 3944 nt
Organism: Microcebus murinus (gray mouse lemur)
Lineage: Eukaryota; Metazoa; Chordata; Mammalia; Primates; Cheirogaleidae
Source: RefSeq, a predicted model, not a curated record